Molecule: small nuclear RNA, 112 nt
Filed under: Eptatretus burgeri (inshore hagfish)
Lineage: Eukaryota; Metazoa; Chordata; Myxini; Myxiniformes; Myxinidae
Description: U5 spliceosomal RNA (ENSEBUG00000000244.1)
Rfam family: U5 spliceosomal RNA
About the family: U5 RNA is a component of both types of known spliceosome.
Source: RNAcentral
ACUACCAGGUUCUCGUCAUGCCACACAAAUCUUUUGCCUUUUAAUAAAGAUUCCUGUGGAGAGGAACCUUCUGAGUGCGAAUUUUCUUUGGUGUCCUCCACUUUGCAGGGUC